Molecule: non-coding RNA, 275 nt
Filed under: Cephalotus follicularis
Lineage: Eukaryota; Viridiplantae; Streptophyta; Magnoliopsida; Oxalidales; Cephalotaceae
Description: Eukaryotic large subunit ribosomal RNA
Rfam family: Eukaryotic large subunit ribosomal RNA
Source: Rfam by way of RNAcentral
CUGACAUGUGUGCGAGUCAAUGGGCCAGCAAACUCGUAAGGCGUAAGGAAGUUGAUUGGCGGGAUCCCUAGCGGGUGUACCGCCGACCGACCUUGAUCUUCUGAGAAGGGUUCGAGUGAGAGCAUGCCUGUCGGGACUCGAAAGAUGGUGAACUAUGCCUGAGCGGGGCAAAGCCAGAGGAAACUCUGGUGGAGGCCAGUAGCGAUACUGACGUGCAAAUCGUUCGGUGACUUGGGUAUAGGGGCGAAAGACUAAUCGAACCGUCUAGUAGCUGG